Molecule: ribosomal RNA, 513 nt
Filed under: uncultured bacterium
Lineage: Bacteria
Description: bacterial SSU rRNA
Rfam family: Bacterial small subunit ribosomal RNA
Source: RNAcentral
GAUGAACGCUAGCGGGAGGCUUAACACAUGCAAGUCGAGGGGCAGCAUAGGGUAGCAAUACUCUGAUGGCGACCGGCAAACGGGUGAGUAACGCGUAUGCAACCUACCCUGUACAGGGGGAUAACCCGGAGAAAUUCGGACUAAUAUCCCGUAAUAAUAUCCGGAGGCAUCUUUGGAUAUUUAAAGUUCCGACGGUACGGGAUGGGCAUGCGUAACAUUAACUGGUUGGUAAGGUAACGGCUUACCAAGGCUAUGAUGUUUAGGGGUCCUGAGAGGGUGGUCCCCCACACUGGUACUGAGACACGGACCAGACUCCUACGGGAGGCAGCAGUGAGGAAUAUUGGUCAAUGGGCGCAAGCCUGAACCAGCCAUCCCGCGUGCAGGAAGACGGCCCUAUGGGUUGUAAACUGCUUUUCCCCGGGGCGAAUAACCCCCUCGCGAGGGGGAGUGCCGGUACCGGGGGAAGUAAGGAUCGGCUAACUCCGUGCCAGCAGCCGCGGUAACUAGUCUACG